UACGGAGGGGACUAGCGUUGUUCGGAAUUACUGGGCGUAAAGCGCACGUAGGCGGAUUUGUAAGUCAGGGGUGAAAUCCCGGGGCUCAACCUCGGAACUGCCUUUGAUACUGCAAAUCUCGAGUCCGGAAGAGGUGAGUGGAAUUCCUAGUGUAGAGGUGAAAUUCGUAGAUAUUAGGAAGAACACCAGUGGCGAAGGCGGCGAUCUGGGUCGAUACUGACGCUGAGGUGCGAAAGCGUGGGGAGCAAACAGG
Molecule: ribosomal RNA, 253 nt
Filed under: uncultured bacterium
Lineage: Bacteria
Description: partial 16S ribosomal RNA
Rfam family: Bacterial small subunit ribosomal RNA
Source: RNAcentral